Molecule: ribosomal RNA, 497 nt
Filed under: uncultured bacterium
Lineage: Bacteria
Description: partial 16S ribosomal RNA
Rfam family: Bacterial small subunit ribosomal RNA
Source: RNAcentral
GAUGUACGCCGGCGGCGUGAUUACUAUAUGCAAGUCGAGCGAACAGACGAGGAGCUUUCUCCUCUGACGUUAGCGGCGGACGGGUGAGUAACACGUGGAUAACCUACCUAUAAGACUGGGAUAACUUCGGGAAACCGGAGCUAAUACCGGAUAAUAUAUUGAACCGCAUGGUUCAAUAGUGACAGACGGUUUUGCUGCCACUUAUAGAUGGAUCCGCUCCGAAUUAGCUAGUUGGUAAGGUAACGGCUUACCAAGGCCACGAUGCGUAGCCGACCUGAGAGGGUGAUCGGCCACACUGGAACUGAGACACGGUCCAGACUCCUACGGGAGGCAGCAGUAGGGAAUCUUCCGCAAUGGGCGAAAGCCUGACGGAGCAACGCCGCGUGAGUGAUGAAGGUCUUCGGAUCGUAAAACUCUGUUAUUAGGGAAGAACAAAUGUGUAAGUAACUAUGCACGUCUUGACGGUACCUAAUCAGAAAGCCACGGCUAACUACGUG